GUAUAAUUUUGGAGUUAUAUAAAUUGUAUAAAAAGUGUACUUUUUGCCUGGAGAUAAUUGAGCUGAUACAGUAAUUAGCCUAAUUAUCUCCCAAGCAGAGGGGAGGAAUUUACUGUAAUUAUUGGGAGUUUUUUAACUGUGUGUCUGUAAAUGAUUGGUUGUUGAGUUUGUGUUUUCAGUGCCCAACAAGGUCCACAUGGGCGGUAACCUUGUGGGGAAAUGUGUAUAUAAGAAGCAAUAAAGCCUUAGUGCAUUCUGUUCCUGCUUAACCCUAAAUCUAGAGUCUUGGCUCUUAUUGGGGGAAUUGUUAUAUCACUACAAGGGAUUGCUAUGCUCUGCAUACU
Molecule: non-coding RNA, 344 nt
Organism: Pelobates cultripes (western spadefoot toad)
Lineage: Eukaryota; Metazoa; Chordata; Amphibia; Anura; Pelobatidae
Source: the annotation of a GenBank genome assembly